Heterocephalus glaber (naked mole-rat) is the source of this 404-nucleotide long non-coding RNA. The record is from Ensembl. Lineage: Eukaryota; Metazoa; Chordata; Mammalia; Rodentia; Bathyergidae.
CUUUAUUUGAGAUGGAGACUUGUGUCGCUCAUCCCGACGUCAGGUUCCUGGGCUGAAGUAGUCCUCCUGCUUCAGCCUCCCAAGUGCUGGGACUGUUGGCACGGGCCACCAUGCCUGGCUCUUAGCAGAUUUUUGUAGGAAGGGCUACAGAAAAGCACGAAGGGAAUUGGAACAGGAGGGAGUAGCCAGGACAAGUGAAAUAUCACCGAGGACACUGAACCUCCCCGCUCUGAGCACUGGCUCCUGGAGGCUGUUUGGUGAGAAAUACAAUUCUGAUUAAAAUAAUGACUGGACUUAAACUUUUAUCCAUGCUCCCUCCUAAAAUUUCUCUGAAAUGGCAACAAGAUGAAGAUGGUGGGAGAAGAGACAUUAAGAAUGACAUUUUGGAAUUGAGAAAGGAGGAG